Long non-coding RNA from Delphinapterus leucas (beluga whale), 666 nucleotides. RefSeq lists it as uncharacterized. NCBI's taxonomy places the organism in Eukaryota, Metazoa, Chordata, Mammalia, Artiodactyla, Monodontidae. The record is from RefSeq and is a predicted model, not a curated record.
CGGUGGAGUGCGGGAGAGCUGGAGUCCGGCGCAUGCGCACUGACGCCUGGUCCAGCUGCUGGGCUGUGCGCAGGCGCGAUGCGGUGCGCGUGGGAACCCAGUGGUGGUUUGACGUUGGCCCCGGAGAUGUCGUGUGGAUGCCGGUGUCUGGACUGACCCGCAUGGUCGGUCCGGUGAGGAGAGUACGUCGUGAGGAGCAGCUUUGGACAGCCCAAAGAAAAUAGGCUCUUUUUCAGAAACACCCAUCUCCACUUUAAGGAGCCAGCAAUGUACACUAAUGUGAAUGAAUCCAGAAAAAAGAGUGGCUUGAAAAGUAACCAGCAUGAAUAACAUGGUAUCAUCUACGGAAAAAUCCGCUCCAGCUUCAGAAUACCUGGCUUAAAAAGAACUUUCAUAAUGGACCCGUUUCAUGGGAUUGUUUUAUCCUGCAUUCUUGGGGUCUUAGACUGCUUACCUAGAGUUUUAAGAUCUAUGUGAACUAACUCUUCUUUUGGUAAGUUAAUAAUGAAACAAAAUAGUAUCCAAGCUAAAUCAACUAUUGGAUGUGUUUUAUUAUUUUUUUAUUUUAUUUUUUUUUGUGGUACACGGGCCUCUCACUGUUGUUGGCCUCUCCCGUUGCGGAGCACAGGCUCCAGACGCGCAGGCUCAGCGGCCAUGACUUACGGG